CCCCUAGACGUUCUGGGCUGCACGCGCGCUACAAUAAUACGCACAGCGAGUAUCACCGAGCUCGAAAGGGCAAGGUAAACAAUAGAAAAGGUACUGUAAUGGUUAUAGAUCCUUGUAAUUAUUGAUCUUCAACGAGGAAUUCCUAGUAAGUAUGUGUCAUCAUCACGCACUGAUUACGUCCCUGCCCUUUGUACACACCGCCCGUCGCUCCUACCGAUUGAGUGAGCCGAUGAAACUGCCGGAUGUGGACUAUUCAUAGUCUGCAGAAGAUAUUUGAAUCGUAGCGCUUAGAGGAAGGAGAANUCGUANCA
This 311-nucleotide ribosomal RNA is filed under the name uncultured eukaryote. Its description in RNAcentral is "partial 18S ribosomal RNA". It matches the Rfam family "Eukaryotic small subunit ribosomal RNA", at positions 1470 to 1796 of the family's 1831-position model. The record is from RNAcentral.